This is a long non-coding RNA of Rhinolophus ferrumequinum (greater horseshoe bat), 4714 nucleotides long. RefSeq lists it as uncharacterized. The transcript is spliced from 3 exons. The record is from RefSeq and is a predicted model, not a curated record. Lineage: Eukaryota; Metazoa; Chordata; Mammalia; Chiroptera; Rhinolophidae.
GCAAUCAUGUCAUCUGCGAAUAACGUUUUACUUCUUCCCUGGCAAUUUGGAUGUCUUUUCUUUCUUUUUCUUAUCUGACUGCACUGGGUAGAAAUUCCAGCGCAAUGCUGAAUAGAAGUGGUGAUGGUGGACAUCUUGCCUUGUUCCUGAUCUUAGAGAGAAAGGAUUCCGUUUUUCAGCAUUAAGUAUGAUUUCAGACGAGAUGGGUAUGUGCAGAGUGGUAUGGCUGUAGACCUGAUUUCAGAUAUUCAUUUUACAAAGAUGCUCUUUGUCAGAUUGAAGAAGUUCCCUUCUAUUCCCAGUUUGUUGUUGUUUUUUAAUCAGCAAUGCAUUUUGGAUUUUGUUGAAUGCUUUUUCUGCAUCAACUGAGUUGGUCAUAUGGUUUCCCUUUUGUACUCUGUUAACAUGGUAAAUGAUGCUGAUUUUCAAAUGUUGAACGAAUCUUGCAUUCCUGGGACAAAUUCCAUUUGUUCAUUGUAUUUUAUCCUUUUUAGAAUGUUGUUGGAAUCAAUUUGGUUCCAAAAUUUUGUUAAGAAUUUUGCAACUACGUUCAUGAGGGAUAUUUGGCUGUAAUAUUUUUUUUGCAAUGUAUUUGUCUGGUUUCAGUAUCAGAAUAAUACCAGUGUCAUGAAAUGAGUUAAGAAGUAUUCCCUCCUCAUCAAUUUUAUGGAGUAAUUUGUAUGAAACUGGUAUUAUGACUUUCUAAAAUGUUUGGUAGAAUUCAUCAGGGAAAUCAUUUGGAUCCAGAGUUUUCUUUGGGGGAAUUCAAUUUCUUUAAUAGAUAUAUGCUUACUCAGGUUAUUAGUUUCUUUUUAAGUGAGCUUUGCUAUUUUGCGUCUUUCAAGGAAUUUUCCCAUUUCAUCUAAGUGCCUAAUGUAUUGGCAUAAAGUAAAUCAUAUAAUUCUCUUAUUUAUCAUUUUAAUAACUAUUGGAUUUGCAGCUUUACCAACUCUUGCAUUCCUGAUAUUGGUAACUUGUGUCUUCUUUUUUUCCUGUUCCACCAGGCUAUUAUUAAUUUUAUUGGUCUUCUCAAACAACCAGCUUUUGAUUUCAUUGACUUUCUCUAUUAUUUCCCUGUUUUCUGUCUUAGUGGUUUUUGGCUUUUACUUUUAACUCAUUUCUUCUGCUUACUUUGUUUCUCCUUUUUUAGUUCCUUAAGGUAGAAGCUGAGGACACUGGUUUGCAACUUUUCUUCUCUAAUAUAGGCAUUUAGUGCUAUAAAUUUUCCGCUGAGCACUUGCAUUAGCUGUAUCCCACAAAUUUCAUGUUGUGUUUUCAUUUUCAAUCAGUAGAAAAUAUGUUCUAAAUUCAUCUUUGACUUUUUUUUCUUUGACCCAUGAGUUACUUUAAAGUGUGAUAGUUUCUAACUAUUUAGGGGAUUUCCAGAUAUCUUUGCUAUUGAUUUUUUAUUUAGUUCCCUUUUGGUCAAAUGACAUACUUUUUAUAAGUGAUUUUAAGUUUAUUGACAUUAUUUUCUGGACCAAAAUGUGGUCCAUAUUAGUAAAUGUUCUGUGUGCAAUUAAACAGAAUGUACCUUCUGUUGUAAUGGGUAGAAUGUCAUACAAAUGUCAAUUACGUCAUUGGUUGAUGGUGUUGUUAGAUCUUCUAAAUUAUUACUGACUUUUUUUGUCAACUUGUUCUAUAAAUUAUUGAGAGAGAUCCAACUAUAAUUGUGGAUCUGUUUCUCCUUUCAGUUCCAUCAGUUUCUGAUUCAUGCAUUUGAAGCUCCGUUAUUAGGUGCAUAAAUAUUUAGAACUAUUAAUUCCACUUGAUGAAUUGACUACUUUAUCAUUAUGAAAUGACUCUCUUUAUUCCUGAUAAUAAUCUUUGUUCUAAAAUCUACUUUGUCUAAAAUUAAUAUAGUUAUUCCAACUUUCUUUAUUAGUAUUAGCAUGGAAUAUUCUUUUCCAACCUUUCACUUUUAGCCUAUUUGUACGUCAAUAUGUAUACUAGGUUUCUUGUAGGCAGCAGUUGAGUCUUGCUUUUAUACCCAAUCUACUAAGUUCUGCCUUUUAAGUGGGUUUAGAUUUUUAUAUAGUUGAUGUGAUUGUUGCUAUAAUCUGGUAUACAUAUAACAUCUUGCUAUUUGUUUUCUGUUUGUCACAUCUGUUCUUUGUUCCCUUUUCCUUUUUUUUCUUAGAUCUCGGAGUUUACAAGUUUUAUCAAAUUUGGAAAUUUUUAGCCAUUUUAAAAAACAUUCUUGGCACUCCCCUCCUCUUCUCAAGACUACAAUUACAUAUAUAUUAGGCCACCUGAAAAUGCCUCACAGCUCAUUAAUGCUCUAUUCAUUUUUUCCUAAUUUUUAUUUCUCCUCUGAGUUUUAUUUUGGAUAGUUUGUAUUGCUAUGGCUUCAAGUUUACUGAUCUUUUCUCCUGCACUGUCUAAUUUGCUGUAAAUCCCAUAUAGUAUAUUUUUCAUCUCCCACAUUGUAGUUUUCAUCUCUAGAUGUCCAAUUUGGGUCUUUUAAAUAUAUUUCAUAUUUAUUUAACAUUCUCAGUCUUUCCUUUACUUUGGUGAAAAUAUGGAAUAUAGUCGUAAACUGUUUUAAUAUCUUUGUCUAUCAUCUCUAUCAUUUCUGGGUCUGUUUUUAUUUAUUUAUUUUCUUCCUCAUGUGUUGUAUCUGCAUGUUUCAUUCCAAGUCUGAUAUUUUGACUGGAGGCCAAAUGUGAAUUUUACCUUGAUGAGAUAUUUUCAUAUAAACAUAAAUAUUGAGCUUUGUUCUGGGAUGCAGUUAUUUGGAAAGAGUUUGAUCCUUUUGAGGCCUGUUUUUAAGGUUUGUGAGAAAGGAUCAGAGCAGUCUUUUGUUUAGAGCUUCAUUUGCCCCACUGCUGAGGCAAUAAUACCCUUCUAAAUACUCAACCCAAUAUCCUGUGACUUAUGAGGUUUUCUCUCUUUGUCUAGUGGGAACACAAACUAUUCUCAACCCUGAGAAAGAAUGGGGUGGGGGGGAUUCCCUCUAAUCCUUUUGGGUGGUUCUUUCUCAGCUUUGGGUGGUUUCCACACACCACAUGCACUUAGCAGUACUCAUCUGAAGACUCAUCUGUGCAGACCUCUGGAGUCUCGCCUUGUGCAGCUCUCUCUUCUCCAAACUCCAGUAGCCACCUUGGCCUCCACAACCCAAACUCUCCAGGUCCAUCCAUGUUGCCGCCAAUGGCAAACAGCAUGCAGAACGACACGCAGACACGAACGAACCAUCAGGACCCAUCCGGGGAACGGCCUGUCAUCCAAUUUGGCUAAAGCGGGAAGCACACAGAGGAUGCUAGAACAACAGGCAGAAGACUGGCUGUGAAGGACCUCGUGAGCCAAAAUAAAGCAUCUGAACUUUAUUCCAAAGGAAAUAGAGAACUGAAGCAUUUUAAAGAAAAGAAGUGACAAUCGGACUGACUUUAAAAAAAAUUACUCUAGCAAUACUCUUAACGGCUUCCAGUCUCAUACGGUAUAUAAAAUCCAACGUCCUUCUUAUGUUUAAAUCCUAUAGCCAAUCUGGCUAUGUCUGAAAUUAUAAUAUUUCCUAUUGCUCCUCUCACUCACCCUGCUUUGGCUACACAGGCCUUCUUGCUGCACCCUGCAAAAUGCCCCUCCUCGGGACUUUUGCACUUACCAUUCCCUCCUGCCUAGAACUCUUCCCUCAAAUGGCCAGGUUGCUCCCUCACUUCCUUUAGGUCUCUGUUCAAAUACUUUCGAUCAGAGAGGGCUUUCCUAUCACCCACUAUAAAAGAGCAAGAAAUGACAGCAAUCAGCCCUACCAUGUUUUCCCCUCCACUUACCACCUAGCACAUAUUUAUUUGCUUGCCUAUUGUCUGUCUCUCCUUACUUACUAGAAUGUAAGUUCCACAACGGAUCCUCUCGAUAAUCAUGAUACAGGAACCAUUACUGCCAUUUCCAGAUGGUAAAAUUAAGGGACAUAAUACUCUAGUGAACCAUGGAACCAGGUGGAAUGACUCCUGAGUCUGCACUCUUAACCGUUUCCCAUACUGACUCUCUAGUAGUGUCACAGGUCCCUGACUUUGAUUCUAGAUCACUUCCUGUGAACAGGCUCCAUAUUGACAAGUAUCAAGACAGUAAAAAUUCUAAACUUACAUUAUGUCCUCCUAAGGAGAUAUGGAUUAUUGUAAUUUGUUAUUAGUCAAGUUUCAAAAGCCAGGAAACAUCUUUUAAAUGAUCAAUUAAAAUACACAAAGUAUCUGGACUUUUAUCUAUCCAACAAUAAGCUGUAUUUUUUCUUGUUUAAGACCUAUAGAUAUUAAAACAAGAUGAAAAGUUUUAUCAAAGUAGAAGAAACAUAGUAUAUGACACCAAAACUAUUUUUCCAAGACUUUUUUCCAAAUAAAUAUUCAACUUCAGGAAUAAAAUUAACUCCAUCUUUAAAAUAACGUGUCAAAAUUUUCUGAGGUAUCACUACCAAAGGAAGAAAGAACAUGUUUUCCAGGUAGACACCAUGUUAUGAAGUAAAUAAGUAUACAGUAUCAUAUGUAGAGUAAAAGAAUGAAAGUGAUGUCUCAGUAACAUUUUCUCCUGAUUCUUUUCCUACUCCUCAGUUAUUAAGUUCAUCUUUCCCUGAUUCUUUCAUCCCAUCUCCCAUUACUGAGAGUACCCCUUUUCAAAAGGUAGUUCUCAAUCAACAGCUUUUCCCUAUCAAUCACUUCAUAUCAGAACUUGUCCACUUUUUUUUUUCAACUUUUAUUUUAAGUGUGUUUUUCCAAAACCCAUCAGC